This is a long non-coding RNA of Dermacentor andersoni, 363 nucleotides long. RefSeq lists it as uncharacterized. NCBI's taxonomy places the organism in Eukaryota, Metazoa, Arthropoda, Arachnida, Ixodida, Ixodidae. The record is from RefSeq and is a predicted model, not a curated record.
UGGAGUGGUAUGGACGGAUUGCAUGCAGUUCAUCAAUAUCUUGGUCGCCCCUGCCGUUGUGCUUGGAAAGAUCAUGGUGGACUCGCUGUCCGCAAACUCAACGGUGCAGCCACUGAGUGAGAUGCACAUGAGGGUGUACAUGGGAGAAACCGUGUUCUCAGGUGCUCCCUUCUUCUACCAUAUGCUUCGUGCACUCUAUUGGGGAUUGCGAUAACAAUACGGUACAGAGGAUGUGAUCCAAUGCUAUCAGGUGCCAUAAAGAGGAUUGACCAGAUUAUACCGCAUUGCAUUACUACUAAACUUGUAAACAUACCCGGAUUCGCAGCGCUGUACUUGGCUGGUGUUGUAUGCGCCGGAACAAGG